AAAGAGGCGCUGGAAGCUCGGUCACAUGAUUCAAUCAUAACAAACGCGGACAUUGGGUCAGUUUACUGUAAAACCAUAUACAUCCACCGAAAAACAACAAAGAGUUAUUGGGAUAUUUAACAAGGGCGUCUUCGCGGGUCAUCGACUGGAUUAUUUAUAAAUGGGAUUGGAUUUACCACAGAAACGGACGCGUAGAUCUGGUUCUUUACACAUCAGGAUUCACACCUUCAGUAAAGCCACUCGAUCACAUCAGUUCACCAAUACAUGCUGUGAUUAUUUCCAUCAUUCUAUAUGUGAAGAAGACCCUCCAGUCGAGCAGAAAUAAUUCCAGGUGUAACCUCUGAACUCUGCAUGACAUAAUAUUGUAAAGAUGGAUGUUGUUGAACAAAAGGAGAGUGAGAACAUGAGUGAUCCAGAACCAUGCAGAAUAGAAAACGAAGAUCCUGACGAACAAAGAG
Molecule: long non-coding RNA, 458 nt
Organism: Myxocyprinus asiaticus (Chinese sucker)
Lineage: Eukaryota; Metazoa; Chordata; Actinopteri; Cypriniformes; Catostomidae
Exons: 2
Source: RefSeq, a predicted model, not a curated record